This 1092-nucleotide long non-coding RNA is filed under the name Marmota monax (woodchuck). The record is from RNAcentral. Lineage: Eukaryota; Metazoa; Chordata; Mammalia; Rodentia; Sciuridae.
AUUGUAGUUAUAAUUAGAUAUGAUUUAUUACAAAAAUUUGUCCAAUGUUUUGCCCAGUUUUGCAUUGUCUUCAAUCAUUUUGUUGUUGAUUUGUAGCGAUUUAAAAGAUAUUCUAGCAGCAUGAAUACAUCCUCUGUUAUUGCAAAUAUCUUCUUAUACUUUGGUUUUCCAUGUUACUCCCUACCAACUAGCAGACACCUUUAUUCUUAAUGUACUCCAAUUUAUCAUUUUCCCUAUAGAGUUAGCCCAAUUCUUUCUCUCAUUUAAGAAAUCUUUGCAUAAUAAGGGAAAUGCAAAUCAAAACUACACUAUGAUUUUAUCUAACUCCAGUCAGAAUGGCAAUUGUCAAUAAUUCAAAUAAUAAUAAAUACUGGCAAGGAUGUGGGGGAAAGGCACACACCUACCUUGUUGGUGGGACUGCAAAUUAGUACAACCACUCUAGAAAGCAGUGUGGAGAUUCCUCAAGAAACUAGGAAUGGAACCAACAACAACAACAAAAAAGAGAGAGAGAGAGAGAGAGAGAGAGAGAGAGAGAGAGAGAGAGAGAGAAACAACAACAACAAAAGAAACUAGGAAUGGAAAACACCAUAUGGCCUAGCUACCCUACUCCUGGCUUGGUAUUUAUCUAAAAGAACUAAAAUCAGUAUAGUGCAGUGAUUUAACCAUUUUGUUAUUUAUAGCAAUACAAUUCACAAUAAUCAAAUUAUGGAAUCAGUCCAGAUGCCUGACUAUAGAUGAAUGGAUCUAUUGAAACUGUGGUGUAUAUACACAGUGGAGUUUUACUCUGCCAUAAAGAAGAAUAAAAUAAUGGCAUUUGCCAGUAAAUGGUUGGAAAUGGAGACCAUGGAUCUACGUGAAAUAUACCAGACUCAGAACAUCAAAUGUUGAAUGUUUUCUCUCCUAUGUGAAAACUAAAGCAAAAUAAGGGAAAGAAGGUAGUGGAGAGGAUCAGAUAUCAUAAACAGACAGGGAAGGUCAGUGGAGUGGAAGAAGGAGAGCAAGAGGGAAGGAGAGAGGAAGGAAAGAUGGACUGAAUUUAAAAAAUCAUGUUACACGCAUAUGUAAAUGUACCAAAGGGGAUCUUACCAUUCU